GAAAACUGAUAGUCAAAGCUCAACGGUCUAGAAAUCGUCUAUACAAAGUCACCAUUGAAAGCAACCAACAGUGCCUUCAGGUAUCAGUUGGUAGCGACUCUGCAAGAUGGCACGCGCGUUUGGGUCACAUAGGGAGAGAAGCAAUGCGAGUGAUGAUGAAAAAAGAGCUAGUAUACGGACUACCAAAGCUCGUGAUCGAGAAAGAGACAUGUUCUUCUUGCUUACUUGGGAAGCAAGCAAGACAAGCCUUCCCACAAGCUACUACGUAUCGAGCUGAGAAGACACUAGGUCUCAUACAUGGAGACCUUUGCGGACCCAUCACGCCACCAACACCAUCACAGAAGAGGUACAUUUUUGUUCUCAUAGAUGAUCACUCUAGAUACAUGUGGACUAUCUUGUUAAAAGAGAAGGGAGAAGCCUUCGACAAAUUCAAGAAAUUCAGAGCCAUUGUUGAGCAAGAAACCGGGGCUGUUAUCAAAACACUCAGGACAGACAGAGGAGGUGAAUUUGUAUCAAACGAAUUCAGAGAAUUUUGUGAGUCGAAAGGGAUAACAAGACAUCUAACAGCUCCCUAUACUCCCCAACAGAAUGGGGUAGUAGAAAGACGAAACAGAACGUUACUUGACAUGACCAGAAGUAUCUUGAGACACACAGAGCUACCAAACUACCUUUGGGGCGAAGCGGUAAGACACGCUACUUACCUAAUAAACAGAGCUGCAACUCGUGUCAUUAAGGCAAAGACGCCAUAUGAGCUGUUCAAAGGACGAAAGCCGAACAUAGAACAUCUGCGCGUUUUUGGAUGUAUUGGAUUUGCCAAGAUAGAGUCGCAGCAUCUCAGGAAACUAGACAACAGAUCCCGAAUGCUGGUUCACCUAGGGACUGAGCCAGGAUCGAAAGCUUACAGGCUACUUGAUCCAACAAAUAAGAAGGUGGUGGUGAGUAGGGACGUGAUAUUUGACGAAACUAGAAGUUGGGAUUGGAAGACAGGUAACAAGGAUGAAGGAACAGGAACAUUCCGCAUCGCUAUUGGUCAGUAUGGGAAUCAUGGCGUAGAUGAAACUGAUACACCUAAGGAUAUUGAAGAAACUGUAACUGAACCUCCAGAUAGUGGUACACUGAGCCAAGAAGAAGAAGAAGAAGAAGUACUUGAUGAGGUCGAACCAGAGCUGAGGAGAUCGCAAAGAGAACGUCGAGCACCAAGCUACUUGGACGACUACAUUUUAUUGGCUGAGAUAGAAGGAGAGCGUCUAUUACUAAGUUUAAACGAUGAGCCGUGGAGUUAUGAUGAAGCUAAAGAAAAGAAAGUAUGGAGAGAUGCAUGUGAAGAUGAAAUCAAGUCCAUUGUUAAGAACAAAACAUGGGAGUUAGCUGAGCUUCCAAUAGGGGCAAAACCAAUCGGUCUUAAAUGGAUCUUUAAGGUUAAACGCAACUCAGAUGGGAGCGUCAACAAGUUCAAAGCGAGGUUAGUAGCAAAAGGCUACAUACAGAGACACGGCAUUGACUUUGAUGAAGUGUUUGCGCCUGUAGCACGCAUUGAAACAGUCCGAUUCCUACUUGCUCUUGCGGCAUCUAGAGGAUGGCAAGUACAUCACCUAGACGUCAAAACCGCGUUCUUGCACGGAGACCUAAAAGAAGAAGUAUAUGUCUUACAGCCUGAAGGUUUUGAAGUCAAAGGGCAAGAGAGCAAGGUAUACAAGCUAAGAAAGGCACUCUACGGUUUGCGACAGGCUCCAAGAGCAUGGAAUGAGAAGUUAAACAAGGUACUAGGAGAUCUUAAGUUCGUGAAGUGUACAAAGGAGCCAGCAGUGUAUCGACGCCAAGAGAAAGAGCACGUACUGCUCAUAGCGGUCUAUGUUGAUGACCUCCUCGUGACUGGUUCGAGUAUUGAGAUGAUUGACGAGUUUAAAAAGGGAAUGUCUGAGAGGUUCGAGAUGAGUGAUUUGGGAACUUUAACCUAUUAUCUAGGGAUCGAGGUUGAUCAAAACGACGAAGGUAUUACGUUAAAGCAAGAACGUUAUGCCAUGAAAAUAUUGGAGGAAGGUGGAAUGCGUGACUGCAAUGCUGUUCACAUACCUAUAGAUCCGAGUUUAAAAUUGUCUAAAGCACAAGAUGAGCGAAGCGUGGAUGAGAAGGAAUAUAGAAGGAGCAUCGGAUGUCUUAGAUAUUUGUUGCAUACUCGACCUGAUCUAUCGUUCGCGGUAGGAGUCAUGAGCCGAUAUAUGCAGCAUCCAAAGACCUCUCAUGCCGCAGCAAUAAAACAGAUACUGAGAUACUUGCAAGGCACGCUUAGCUUCGGACUAGUGUUCAGACGUGCAGCAGAAACAAAGUUGAUAGGUUACAGUGAUGCAAGUCAUAAUGUAGAUGAAGACGAUGGCCGAAGCACCACAGGGCACGUUUUCUAUUUCGGAGAAUCACCUAUAACCUGGUGUUCUCAGAAACAAGAAACAGUUGCUCUCUCGUCUUGUGAAGCAGAGUUUAUGGCAGCGACUGAGGCGGCCAAGCAGGCUAUCUGGUUGCAAGAACUGCUUGCUGAGAUCGUAGGAAAGGAAAGCGAGAAAGUGGUGGUUCUGAUUGACAAUAAGUCUGCAAUAGCUUUGACGAAAAACCCGGUGUUCCAUGGGCGUAGCAAACAUAUACAUCGGCGCUAUCAUUUCAUUCGUGAGUGUGUUGAUAGCAGUCUGAUCGAGGUCCAUCAUGUACCAGGAAGUAAACAACGCGCUGACAUUCUAACGAAAGGACUUGCAAGAAUUCGAUACAAGGAAAUGAGACAGAUGAUUGGAGUUGAAGAUUUGUCUAAAGGAGACUUCAAGCUUAAGAGGGAGAUUGUUGGGAUAAGCUUGAAAUAGCUUGGAAAUCAAGCUAUCCUAAUCCUAUAUUGUUUGUGUUUAUCUAUAAGGAUUAGGAAAAUAUAAAACCUAUUGAGUUUUGGAGUUAUCUAUUGAUAUAUAAGGAGUUGCAGACUUGUUGCAACACUUAAGCGUUUUGGUGAUUGUUUGAGUUGACUUGAGUUUUGAGGAAUUUUCUCAAGUGAUUAAUAAGAGAGCAAGUUCUUGUUAAUUGUGUUCUUACAAUCAAAUACGUGAAACUUAGAAACUAUAUUUGGUAUCAGAGCUUCUAGGAAACGAUCGCACUAGCUAUGGGAGAUCUAGUUACUACGAAAGUUAAAGGAGGAGGUGGACCUACCACCAUAAGCUGUCCCAUGCUAUCAUCGACAAAUUACACUGUCUGGUCAAUACGGAUUAAGGUGCUACUGAAGAUACACAAGGUCUGGGACGUCAUUGAGGUCGAAUCUGAUAAUGGGGAAAAGAACGACAUGGCCACUGCUCUACUGUUUCAGUCAAUACCCGAGUCACUGAUUCUCCAAGUAGGAGAGUUAGACACAGCCAAGAAAGUAUGGGAUGCGAUUAAAGCAAGACAUAUGGGGGCAGAUCGAGUUCGAGAAGCAAGACUACAAACUCUAAUGGCUGAGUUCGACAGAUUAAAGAUGAAAGACAGUGAUACAAUCGAUGACUUUGUGGGGAAGUUAUCCGAAAUAUCAUCGAAGUCAGCUGCUUUGGGAGAAGUUAUUGAAGAAACAAAACUAGUAAAAAAGUUUCUGUCUAGUCUGCCACGACGCAAAUAUAUACACAUUGUGGCAUCAUUAGAACAGGUACUUGAUCUCAAGACGACAAGCUUCGAAGACAUUAUCGGACGGUUAAAAACCUAUGAGGAAAGAGUUGCAGAAGAGGAAGAAGAGACGCAGGAUAAACUCAUGUACGCAGCAAACUCUGAAUCUCAACCGGCUUCAAAUUCUUCAAACCGAGACUACAACAGUAACUAUAGGGGUCGAGGACGAGGAGGCCGAUUCUAUAACAGAGGACGAGGCAGAGGAAGGUAUAAUGAUCGAUACCAAGACAACUUUGAUAUGGCAAAGAUCAUGUGUUUCAGGUGCGACAAGAUGGGACAUUUUGCUUCUGUAUGUCCUGACCGUCUACUCAAACUACAAGAGGCAACAGAAACAAAGGACAAAGACGCUGACACAACGGAGGCUGAAGAACUGAUGGUUCAUGAGAUCGUUUACCUAAACGAAAAGAAGGUAAACCCGCUGAACUUUGAGACAAGUUCAGACAACGACAGAGUGUGGUAUCUAGACAAUGGGGCGAGCAACCACAUGACUGGAAAUCGAAGGUACUUCAAGACACUUGAUGAAACUAUUACUGGUAAAGUAAGGUUCGGUGAUGACUCUCGUAUCGACAUAAAGGGAAAGGGACCAAUACUGUUUCACACAAAGGACGGAGGAAAGAAAAUACUAACUGACGUUUACUACAUACCGGACUUGAAGAGCAAUAUAAUUAGUCUUGGUCAAGCCACAGAGUCCGGUUGCGACAUCAGGAUGAAAGAUGAGUUUCUUACGCUGCGAGACAAAGACGGAAAACUGAUAGUCAAAGCUCAACGGUCUAGAAAUCGUCUAUACAAAGUCACCAUUGAAAGCAACCAACAGUGCCUUCAGGUAUCAGUUGGUAGCGACUCUGCAAGAUGGCACGCGCGUUUGGGUCACAUAGGGAGAGAAGCAAUGCGAGUGAUGAUGAAAAAAGAGCUAGUAUACGGACUACCAAAGCUCGUGAUCGAG
Molecule: long non-coding RNA, 4609 nt
Filed under: Brassica rapa (field mustard)
Lineage: Eukaryota; Viridiplantae; Streptophyta; Magnoliopsida; Brassicales; Brassicaceae
Description: long non-coding RNA (BRAP_LNC002031)
Source: RNAcentral